This 500-nucleotide ribosomal RNA is filed under the name Cryptococcus sp. DMKU-SP20. RNAcentral's name for it is "LSU rRNA". It matches the Rfam family "Eukaryotic large subunit ribosomal RNA", at positions 159 to 649 of the family's 3401-position model. The record is from RNAcentral. Lineage: Eukaryota; Fungi; Basidiomycota; Tremellomycetes; Tremellales; Cryptococcaceae.
CUUUUUCCGUGCCGGACUGUGUCCAACUCCCUUGGAACAAGGUAUCAAAGAGGGUGAUAAUCCCGUACUUGACACAAUGACCGGUGCUCUGUGAUACGUCUUCUACGAGUCGAGUUGUUUGGAGAAUGCAGCUCAAAAUGGGUGGUGAGUUCCAUCUAAAGCUAAAUAUUGGCGAGAGACCGAUAGCGAACAAGUACCGUGAGGGAAAGAUGAAAAGCACUUUGGAAAGAGAGUUAAACAGUACGUGAAAUUGUUAAAAGGGAAACGAUUGAAGUCAGUCGUGACUGAGAGGCUCAGCCGGUUCUGCCGGUGUAUUCCCCUCAGUCGGGUCAACAUCAGUUUUGUUCGGUGGAUAAGGGCAGUUGGAAGGUGGCACCCUCGGGUGUGUUAUAGCCAGCUGUCGCAUACAUCGGAUGAGACUGAGGAAUGCAGCUCGCCUUUAUGGCCGGGGUUCGCCCACGUUCGAGCUUAGGAUGUUGACAUAAUGGCUUUAAACGACC